RNAcentral lists this ribosomal RNA (372 nucleotides) under uncultured bacterium. RNAcentral's name for it is "bacterial SSU rRNA". It matches the Rfam family "Bacterial small subunit ribosomal RNA", at positions 29 to 412 of the family's 1533-position model. The record is from RNAcentral.
AGUGAACGCUGGCGGCGUGCUUAACACAUGCAAGUCGAACGGGCAAGUGCCGUAGCAAUACGGAUUACUGCUAGUGGCAGACGGGUGAGUAAUACAUAGGAAUCUGCCUCGGAGUGGGGAAUAACAGUUGGAAACGACUGAUAAUACCCCAUAUUGCCUGAGGGUGAAAGAAUUUCGCUCCGAGAUGAGCCUAUGCAGGAUUAGCUUGUUGGUAGGGUAAUGGCCUACCAAGGCGACGAUCUUUAGCUGGUCUAAGAGGAUGAUCAGCCACACUGGAACUGAGACACGGUCCAGACUCCUACGGGAGGCAGCAGUGGGGAAUUUUGGACAAUGGGCGAAAGCCUGAUCCAGCCAUUCCGCGUGAGUGAAGAA